CUGGUAUAGAGUAUGAUGACCUGGAUACCAUAUUGUGCCAAAGACCUCUACGAAAGAUAGAUGCCAGAGGCAGAAAGGGGGCAGGAACAAAUGUCCCCCCUGGAUGCAAUGGAUGCUGCAAGCCAAGAAAUCACAGCUGAACACUGUCAGGGGUGGAUAUGUCAUACAAAAAAAAUUCUUCCCAAGAUGCCUUGACAGAGAAGAUAUCAGGUGUGAUGUGGAUGAGAACAGGUGGCCAAAUGC
This is a long non-coding RNA of Micropterus dolomieu (smallmouth bass), 243 nucleotides long. RefSeq lists it as uncharacterized. Lineage: Eukaryota; Metazoa; Chordata; Actinopteri; Centrarchiformes; Centrarchidae. The transcript is spliced from 3 exons. The record is from RefSeq and is a predicted model, not a curated record.